RNAcentral lists this ribosomal RNA (253 nucleotides) under uncultured bacterium. RNAcentral's name for it is "partial 16S ribosomal RNA". It matches the Rfam family "Bacterial small subunit ribosomal RNA", at positions 524 to 776 of the family's 1533-position model. The record is from RNAcentral.
UACGAGGGGAGCUAGCGCUGUUCGGAAUUACUGGGCGUAAAGCGCGCGUAGGCGGUUUUUUAAGUCAGAAGUGAAAGCCCGGGGCUCAACCCCGGAAUUGCCUUUGAGACUGGAAAACUAGAAUCUUGGAGAGGUCAGUGGGAUUCCGAGUGUAGAGGUGAAAUUCGUAGAUAUUCGGAAGAACACCAGUGGCGAAGGCGACUGACUGGACAAGUAUUGACGCUGAGGUGCGAAAGCGUGGGGAGCAAACAGG